CAGUCGCCGCGGGAAUACAGAGGGUGCAAGCGUUAAUCGGAAUUACUGGGCGUAAAGCGCGCGUAGGUGGUUUGUUAAGUUGGAUGUGAAAUCCCCGGGCUCAACCUGGGAACUGCAUUCAAAACUGACUGACUAGAGUAUGGUAGAGGGUGGUGGAAUUUCCUGUGUAGCGGUGAAAUGCGUAGAUAUAGGAAGGAACACCAGUGGCGAAGGCGACCACCUGGACUAAUACUGACACUGAGGUGCGAAAGCGUGGGGAGCAAACAGGAUUAGAUACCCCUGUAGUCCCUGUCUCUUAUAC
RNAcentral lists this ribosomal RNA (301 nucleotides) under uncultured bacterium. Its description in RNAcentral is "partial 16S ribosomal RNA". It matches the Rfam family "Bacterial small subunit ribosomal RNA", at positions 509 to 807 of the family's 1533-position model. The record is from RNAcentral.